AUGGUGAUGGCAAGCUGGCCAGGCACCUGGAGAGGACAAACAGAGCAUGAGACCAAAGAGGAGAAGAGAGAGGAGGGUCAGCACCCCAGUACUCAGGAGGCUGAAGCUGGAGAGGUCAAUGGACUCAAUACAGAGACUCUAUCUCAAAAAACAAAUGGCAAAUAAGUAAAUAAACGGACGUGAUCUCUGCUGCUGGAACCUUGCUCCGAGCUCACCUUCAGGGCUGGAACCAGAGACCCCCAAAGCUCAGCUGAGCCUCACCUGUGACUGGCUUCAACUCUGUUCCCAGGUCCCUCCUGCCACAGAUGAUGUGUGCAGCUGGGCAGGGGAACACAGGCCUCAAGGACCAGCGUGGGACACUCUGCUUCUGUCUGUGCCUUCUGAUCCUGUCCUGAGUCUGAGGGACCAAAACGUAGCCGUUUCGAUGGUUGCUGGGCAAAAGCCCACGUUCCAGAUGCUUUGUCAUUUGUCCUCAUCUGUGACCUUCCAGGGGCCCCAUCCUGCUCCAAUUUUGGCAGCUACUUUCUGAUUCCUCGUGCACAGUAAGGGUGAGAUGAGUUAGAAGGACAAAAGUAGGCUGAAAAAGUAGUGAAGGAUCAGCAUUAACAUGCAUUUUAAUAAUAUUUUUGACUUACCCUCAAGGGUUUUGAAAUGACAAAGUCUAACAAAAUGGUCCCAGUUCAACAAGGCACAGUUCAGAUUCCUCAGAUGGCCUAACUGUAGCUCUCUAGCUGACUCAGGAAACAGUGGUGUCCUCGUUCUCUUCAAUGUGAAUGACAUGUUGGAUUGAGAGGAAAACCCAUUGAAAAGUAAGGUGAUUUUCUUCUAACAACAACACAAACCUCAACAAGCAAUUCCAUUUCUUUCUUUGCAGCAACUUAUUUCAGCACAUGUGGAAUAAUAUUCAUAAUGAACAUUUGUGAGUAUAUUUGCCCUAAAUAUGGUUAUGGGAUAUCUUGCCCAUUUCUGUGAUCUAUUAAAAGUGCUUUAAGAACAUAAUGAAAGUGGGGCAAAGUGGCACACACCUAUAAUCCUAGCUACUCAGGUAGCUGAGGCAGGAUAAUCUCAAGCUUAAGGCCAUCCUGGAAAACCUAAUAAGACCCUGUCUUGCAGUAAAAAAAGAAAAAAGAAAAAAGUGGGACUGAGCGUGAGGAUGUCGCUCAGGGGUAGAACACCCCUGAGCUCUCAGUGGUAGAACCUCAGCCAGGCUCCCAGGAAGCAGCAGGGAGGGCGUGUAGGUUUCCUCUGAAGCAGCUUCUUCCCUGGUCCCGCUGCCUGCUGUCUCCAGCCCAGCCACACUGUGACUGCACCAGAAUUCUGCUCAUCAGGGGCCCUGUGGCACCAGUAAGUAUAUUCCUAACACAGAAAACAAUGAACAAAAACAAAAAUAUCUCACAAAACAAAACAAGCUUCACUGGUCAAAUUUGCAUAAUGCUUUUAAACUUUUUCUAUUUUAAGCUUUUUAAAAAUCCCUUCCUCAUGGUGUGUGGGUGGGGGGCCUGAAACAGCUCAAAAUAUAAAGGCAAGGAAAGGAGGUGGAUAUGGUAGCACAUAGGUGUAAUCCCAGCUACUCAGGAGGCAGACGCACAGGAUUUCGAGUUUGAGCCUAGAGGAGGCUAGGUAUCCUGCCUCAAAAAAUAAAAAAUAAGAAUAAAAAAUAAAGGAGAAAGAGAACAGAAGCUGCUAGAUCCUCAGAUGGUUAAACAUGAACUGAGGGGAAGUUCUCCCUGCUUUGAUUAAAGUGAGUAAGAACAUCUCUACUUUGAAUUAUGUUUUGUACCAAAUUGAAAAACCACAUCUUCAUUUAAAUUAAAAAAAAAACCAAAACACCAAAUUUUAUGAAAUCGUAGGAAGUUUCAUGUUAGCAUUCUGGAAAAAAAAUCACAAGAAAUUUGGUACAAAAAAAUUAAAUUGCUUUCGUUAUCUACAAGAAUUCAAAGUUAAAAACUAGAAAAACUCACCACUACCACUGAAAUGUACAUUAUCUUCAAUUUAUAUGUUGUGUUCUAAAGUUCCAGGACAACAGGAAAUUAGAAUAAUUUCUAAGAAAGUAUCAAAGAAAUAAAAAUCAGAUAUAAAGGAGACAAGGAGGUUGAGAUUUUAAAAAUCCUACUUAACUACCGCUUCAAAACACAAAAGUUACUUAAGCCUUUUUCCCUUCCAGGAAACUCACUCCAAAAAAUAAAUAAAUAAAAUUAAAAAAAUAAAAUUCCUAAAGGUCCUAAAGACAAUACGCUUGUAAA
This is a long non-coding RNA of Cavia porcellus (domestic guinea pig), 2243 nucleotides long. RefSeq lists it as uncharacterized. The record is from RefSeq and is a predicted model, not a curated record. The transcript is spliced from 3 exons. NCBI's taxonomy places the organism in Eukaryota, Metazoa, Chordata, Mammalia, Rodentia, Caviidae.